Molecule: ribosomal RNA, 552 nt
Filed under: Salmonella enterica
Lineage: Bacteria; Pseudomonadati; Pseudomonadota; Gammaproteobacteria; Enterobacterales; Enterobacteriaceae
Also listed under: 1 other name
Description: partial 23S ribosomal RNA
Rfam family: Bacterial large subunit ribosomal RNA
Source: RNAcentral
GGGUUGUGAGGUUAAGCGACUAAGCGUACACGGUGGAUGCCCUGGCAGUCAGAGGCGAUGAAGGGCGUGCUAAUCUGCGAUAAGCGCCGGUAAGGUGAUAUGAACCGUUAUAACCGGCGAUACCCGAAUGGGGAAACCCAGUGUGACUCGUCACACUAUCAUUAACUGAAUCCAUAGGUUAAUGAGGCGAACCGGGGGAACUGAAACAUCUAAGUACCCCGAGGAAAAGAAAUCAACCGAGAUUCCCCCAGUAGCGGCGAGCGAACGGGGAGGAGCCCAGAGCCUGAAUCAGCAUGUGUGUUAGUGGAAGCGUCUGGAAAGGCGCGCGAUACAGGGUGAUAGCCCCGUACACAAAAGCGCAUGUGUUGUGAGCUCGAUGAGUAGGGCGGGACACGUGGUAUCCUGUCUGAAUAUGGGGGGACCAUCCUCCAAGGCUAAAUACUCCUGACUGACCGAUAGUGAACCAGUACCGUGAGGGAAAGGCGAAAAGAACCCCGGCGAGGGGAGUGAAAAAGAACCUGAAACCGUGUACGUACAAGCAGUGGGAGCACA